This 497-nucleotide ribosomal RNA is filed under the name uncultured bacterium. RNAcentral's name for it is "partial 16S ribosomal RNA". It matches the Rfam family "Bacterial small subunit ribosomal RNA", at positions 28 to 507 of the family's 1533-position model. The record is from RNAcentral.
GAUGAACGCUGGCGGCGUGCCUAAUACAUGCAAGUCGAGCGAACAGACGAGGAGCUUGCUCCUCUGACGUUAGCGGCGGACGGGUGAGUAACACGUGGAUAACCUACCUAUAAGACUGGGAUAACUUCGGGAAACCGGAGCUAAUACCGGAUAAUAUAUUGAACCGCAUGGUUCAAUAGUGAAGGACGGUUUUGCUGUCACUUAUAGAUGGAUCCGCGCCGCAUUAGCUAGUUGGUAAGGUAACGGCUUACCAAGGCGACGAUGCGUAGCCGACCUGACAGGGUGAUCGGCCACACUGGAACUGAGACACGGUCCAGACUCCUACGGGAGGCAGCAGUAGGGAAUCUUCCGCAAUGGGCGAAAGCCUGACGGAGCAACGCCGCGUGAGUGAUGAAGGUCUUCGGAUCGUAAAACUCUGUUAUUAGGGAAGAACAAAUGUGUAAGUAACUAUGCACGUCUUGACGGUACCUAAUCAGAAAGCCACGGCUAACUACGUG